Long non-coding RNA from Hippopotamus amphibius kiboko, 568 nucleotides. RefSeq lists it as uncharacterized. Lineage: Eukaryota; Metazoa; Chordata; Mammalia; Artiodactyla; Hippopotamidae. The record is from RefSeq and is a predicted model, not a curated record. The transcript is spliced from 4 exons.
GGAAGUGGAAGUCAACUGAUUUGGUUACCUGGCUCACUGAUUUCUUCACAGGGAGCCCUGAGUGAGGAGCAGGAAAAAGAAUUUGGAGGAAAGAAGAGGGAGGAAUUAAUUCUACUUGGAGAAAUGAGGACAACAACCAUGUUUCAACAGCAAGAUUCUUCCAAUAGUAUCAUCAGAUCAUAUAUACCAACGGCUACAACAGACCCUUCUUCUUCUUCUCUCAAACAUGGAUAUGAUACCUAGAGAUACAGCAGCUAUCUUGAGAUAAUGAGGCAACAAGCACAAAGAAGAAGCUAAGAAACACAGAGCAGCCAUCUUGAGCAACAAGUAUGGAAAAAAAAAAAUUAAGACUCACAGAGAUGUCAUUGAACCAAAGCUAGCAACAAACUACUUUCAGACUUCUGUGAAGCAAAUAAAUCAUUAUUCUUUAAACCUCUCUAGUUAAAUAGGCUAUUACCUUCAGUAAAAUACAUUCCUAACUGAUAAAAAUAAGAACAAGCACCAUGUAUUCUGCUUGCUAUUACCAUAGGAGCAAACAGGGUAAAAUCUAUGCCAACAAACAGAAGCU